CACAACACUGCCAAUAUAUCCAGGAUUCUCAGAAAGUACUAAGCCCGUUGGUAAUAAAUAUACAUAACAGCAGUAUGUUUUCUUAACGCAUUACUGGUUCCGAGAAAAUUGUGGUAAUCAGCAAAUUAAUUAAACUGCCGAUAAAUACAAACUAAAGAAUAAAUGUUGAGACACACAUUGCUGAUCUUACUUUUCCUAUUGGCUUGGUGUCAAAAAAAUUACAAUCCUCGUUCGUUCAAAGACUUAGACCCAGAUGAGCCUAUUGAAGGUUUUUUAGCUCCCGACAAAUGUCUCUAUAGUUACUAUCUAGUAGAGAUUUACAAUAUUAUAAUUAUUGCUUAUGGUGUAUGGACAAAAUGGAAAUUAAAAGUAUUGGAAAAGAAAUAUUAUGAGGAACUUAAAAAACGCGAUGAACUGAAAAAGGAACGUAAAGAACUUGAAAAGGAACUUAUCAAGGUAUUUGAUAAAAUUAAAAAGAGACAUGAAGAACUUAUAAAGGAAAAAACAGAACUUUCAGAGAAAAAUGAAGAACAUACAAAGAAAUAUAAAGAACUUGCAAACAAAUCUGAAGCGUUGGAAGAACUCUUGGAACAGAAGGAUAAAUAUCUUUCGUUUGAAUUUUAAGUAGAAGAAACACAAAUAGGUUUUUGUGAAUGUAAGGAAACUUAAUCAGGAACCCAGGAGAUCAGAUGAGAAGCAUGAAUUUCAGGCUUACACGGUGGCAUCGUUUCUGAGGGAUUACGUCACGAUGCUCUUGAGUUUGAAAAUUUAGACUUUUCAUCUGCUGUGCUGACAAAGAUAUCAACGUGGUUAUUUAUUCAGGUUUUUAGAUGUUAUAAUUUAGAUGUGUUACCUAGCUAGUUAAAAUACUUACCAUUGGUUUCCUCUUUGCUACUCUAAAUUGGUAAUAAAAAUAAAAAUAAUAUUUAAUUAGCUGUUGCCUUACAUUUAAAUGUAUGCAGUAUGAAAGUUUGACAAAGAUAAAAAAAAAACUAGAGAAACAUAGUGAUGUAAUCUACAUCUGAACGUUUUCAUAGUUUUAGAAAUUGGUUUCAGUUCCUCUGUGAAAAUGAUAGUUUCAGAAAAUAUAGAAACCCAAUAAACUGAUAAUGUGUAAAUCUGCAUCUCUGUGUGUGUUGGUGUGCGCUAAGUGAUUUUUAAGUUAAAGCAGUUUUAUACCAGUGUCAUGUGUUGUCCGGUUUUGUGUGCUCCGAAGCUUUAAGCAGUUAUUGGCCAGUUUUGGAAAACAUGAAUUGUGAAGUUAGUGAUUUAAAUGUAUAGACCUCUUGAUUCUUGUAAACUCAAAAAAAUAUUAGUGAGAGAUUUAAUUUACAUGGGAGUCUCUAAUCCAUGUACUAAAUAGAAUGGUGUGUACAGCAAUAGAAAAAAACACUUUCUUUAUCUGUUGAUCUAAAGACUUAUUACAUUUAUUUAAGCAAAUAAACAUUUAAACAUUAACUACUACAGCUAAAGAAAUGUAUUUAUCUUCUUGUUUUAGUUCAUUUUAGCGUGUUUAUUCAUUUUUUAUAGCUCGGAAAUCCAUUUUAAGUAAUAUUUUUAAGAUUACUCUGUUGAAUUUUAGAUUUGAAUAAAAAUGAUAAUUAUUGUCUGUUGU
This is a long non-coding RNA of Physella acuta, 1615 nucleotides long. RefSeq lists it as uncharacterized. The record is from RefSeq and is a predicted model, not a curated record. NCBI's taxonomy places the organism in Eukaryota, Metazoa, Mollusca, Gastropoda, Physidae.